RNAcentral lists this ribosomal RNA (253 nucleotides) under uncultured bacterium. Its description in RNAcentral is "partial 16S ribosomal RNA". It matches the Rfam family "Bacterial small subunit ribosomal RNA", at positions 524 to 776 of the family's 1533-position model. The record is from RNAcentral.
UACGGAGGGUGCAAGCGUUAUCCGGAUUCACUGGGUUUAAAGGGUGCGUAGGUGGGCUGGUAAGUCAGUGGUGAAAUCUCCGGGCUUAACCCGGAAACUGCCAUUGAUACUACAAGUCUUGAAUGUCGUGGAGGUGAGCGGAAUAUGUCAUGUAGCGGUGAAAUGCUUAGAUAUGACAUAGAACACCAAUUGCGAAGGCAGCUCACUACACGGAUAUUGACACUGAGGCACGAAAGCGUGGGGAUCAAACAGG